UAAUAUCGCGAUCCUUCUCUGGUGUUCCUUGUUUUAGCUGACGACACUCGAGAGCGCCAAUUUUCCUAGAUUCGAUUUUGUGGUUUGGAACUGUGGUUUUGGAAUCCAGAGUAGUCGCCUCGUUCUAGUAUCCAAUUGCUCCAGCACCAACUGGUGAAAAGACCAUCAUUCUUCUACUCAGUUGCAUUUGAAGCUUUGUCAAAAACCAGACACAAUUGGAGACACAGGUUCUUCUAUCAAGGCCUUGACUGGAAUGGCAUAUUUUCAGAUAUGACCACAUUGCUUUGAGGAAAUGAGGCUGAUGUUGCAGAGCUGAUAAAACCCCCACAGAAAGGCCAGCCUACCUCUGCCAUGAGAGGAUACAGUGAGAAGAGGGUGAUCUGUAAACCCAGAAGAGUGCCCUCCCCAGACACUGGAACUUCUAACACUUUGAUCUUGAAUUUCCCAACCUCCAGAACUAUGAGAAAUAAAUGUUUGUUCUUUAUGCCACCCAACAUUUGAUAUUCUUGUACAGCAGCCUGAAUUAAGAUAGUCACAGUGCGUAAUGUUUUGUUAUUUUAUUCAGUUUGCUAAUAUUUUGUGGAGGACCUUUGAAUCUAUGUUCAUGAAAGCUAUUGGUAUGUAGUUUUUUGUUUUUUUGUUGUUGUUUUUAUUUUUUUGUACUGGUUUUGAUAUUUGGGUGAUACUAGCCUCACAGUGAGUUGGGGACUGUUCUUUCUUUCUGGAAAAGAUUGUGAAAAUGCAUUGUUAUCUCUUUGAAUGUUUUGUAGAAUUCUGCAGUGAAACCAUCUGGGCCUGGGAUUUUUUAGGAGAUUUUUUAAAAUAAAUUCAGUUUCUUUAAUGGUUAAUAUAGGGCUACCUAAAUUAUCUAUUUCAUCUUGGUUGUGUUUGGUAGUUUGUGGUUCCUCAAAAGGCUUCAUUACUUCUAAGUUUUCAGUAAAAAAACUGUUUUAGAGUAUAAAACUUUGUGUAAUAUUUUCUUAUUAUCUUAGUGGCUACAGGAUAUGAAGUGACAUCCCCUGUUUUAUUCCUCAUAUUGGUGAUAUCUGUUUUCUCUUAAUUUUUGUGACUCUUGAAAGAAGUUUGUACAUUUUAUUGAUUUAAAAAAGAAACAGGCCGGGUGCGGUGGCUCAUGCCUGUAAUUCCAGCACUUUGGGAGGCCGAGGCAGGCAGAUAACGAGGUCAGGAGAUCAAGACCAUCCUGGCUAACACGGUGAAACCCCGUCUCUACUAAAAAUACAAAAAAUUAGCCAGGCAUGGUGGCGGGCGCCUGUAGUCCCAGCUACUCGGGAGGCUGAGGCAGGAGAAUGGUGUGACCCUGGGAGGCGGAGCUUGCAGUGAGCCAAGAUCGUGCCACUCCAUUCCAGUCUGGGCGACACAGUGAGACUCCGUCUCAAAAAAAAAAAAGAAAAGAAAAAAAAGAAAGAAAUCGUCUUUUACUUCAUUAAAUUUUCUUCUCUGCUAUUUCUUAUUUCUAAUUUUAUUAAUUAUUGUUCUGAUCUCUAUAUUAUUUCCUUCCUUUUUUUUAAGAAAGAGAGACUCUCACUCUGUCACCCAGGCCGGAGUGCAGUGGUGCGAUCAUAGCUCACUGCAGUCUUGAACUCCUGGGCUCAAGCAGUUCUCCUAUCUCAGAGUAGCUGGGACUACAGGACACACCACCAUGCCUAAUUUUUAAAAUGUUUUGUAGAAAUGAGGUCUCGCUAUGCUGCCCAAGCUGGUCUUGAAAUCCUGGCUCAAGUGAUCCUCCCUGCCUUGGCUUUCCUAAGUGCUGGGAUAAUAGGUGUGAGCCACCAAGCCUGACCUCCUUCUUCUUGAUUGCUUUGGGUUUAUUUUCCUCUGCUUUCUCUAGUGCCUUAUGGUAGGAGCUUAGAUUGACUUGAGUCCUUUUCUCAUGUUUAAUGUAAACAUUUAAUGCUACAGUUUUGCUCUCAAAAAUCCUUUAGCUGUAUCCAACAUGUUUUGGUAUGUUGUAUUUUCAUAUUCCUUAAGUUUCAUUUUUAACUUGAGAUUUUCCUCUUUGUCCCAGCAAUGAUUUAAAAUUUAUGUUGUUCAAUUUCUCUGUGUUUAGAGAGUUUCCUGUUGUCUUCGUUAUUGAUUAUCUGUUUGAUUCCAAUAUUGUCAGGAAACAUGCUACGUAUACUUUCAUUUAUUUUGCAUUUGUUGAAGUUGUUGUAUGGCUCAGGACAUGGUCUAUCUUGAUGAAUCUUCCAUGAACAAUUGAAAAAAAAGUGUACUCUGCUUAUUGGGUGGAGUGAUGUGUCACUCCAUGAUUGGUUGAUUAUAUUAGUCAGAUCUUCUAUAUUCUCGCUAAUUUACUGUCAGUAGCUUUGUCACUUGCUGAAAGAUCAUGUUGCAUUUUCCAAUAAUAAUUGUGGAGUUGUCUGUUUUUCCUUUUAAGUCUAUCAGUUUUGCUUCAUGUAUUUUAAGACUGUUUUUUGGUUUAUACACAUUUGAGAUCAUUAAGUUUUCCUUGUCAAUUGAAUUUUUCAUUAACAUGUAUUAUCUCUCUCUGUCAUCUCUACCC
RNAcentral lists this long non-coding RNA (2524 nucleotides) under Homo sapiens (human). RNAcentral's name for it is "HSALNT0372845". Lineage: Eukaryota; Metazoa; Chordata; Mammalia; Primates; Hominidae. The record is from RNAcentral.